GGUUCCGUAGCUCAGUUGGAUAGAGCAACAGCCUUCUAAGCUGUAGGUCUUGGGUUCGAGCCCCAACGGAAUCA
This 74-nucleotide transfer RNA is filed under the name Tidjanibacter sp. RNAcentral describes it as "tRNA-Arg". It matches the Rfam family "tRNA". From Rfam's summary of the family: Transfer RNA (tRNA) molecules are approximately 80 nucleotides in length. Their secondary structure includes four short double-helical elements and three loops (D, anti-codon, and T loops). Lineage: Bacteria; Pseudomonadati; Bacteroidota; Bacteroidia; Bacteroidales; Rikenellaceae. The record is from RNAcentral.